GAAAUAUAUGGAUUGUAUCUUGGCUUCACAUUCACAUUAUAGUCGGCACAUUCAUAUUUCAAAAACUUUUCAACUCAGAACAAUGAAACUUACUUUUAUAGGUGACAUUCAGCACUUGAACUGAUUUGUUGAGCUGUGACUCUCUGGAUUUGAGAAGAGUCUUGAUAACACUGAGGACCUGAGUUUCUCUGGGGACUGGAGAUGAGGAGUUAAACUGCAGUUUGCUUGUAACCAGUGCUGAACCAGUUCUGUUCAUUAGAGGUAAGCUUGUUUUGCCAAGGACUGCUGUAGAUGUUAGGAAGUGCACUGUAGGAUUAUUUUCUGUCUGAGAAUUAGUCAAAGCUGUUGUUGUAAACACUGGAACUGUUGUUGUAUUUAAAUUAGAUAUAGCUUGUGAUUGUGCUGUUGUUGGCUCUUCCAACAAUGUUGAGGAGGACAUUCUGGUUGUAAUUGUUUCACUACUAGUUGUUGUGAUUUUAGAAUUAGGUGUGGUUGUUGAAUCAGUUAUAUCUGUUUUUAAUGCACUGAAGGUAGUAAUUUUCAUCUCAGACAUUGUUGUGCUUUGUGGAUGAAUAUUCUUGGAUGUUGUUGUCACUGACUCCUCCAGCAAAGUUGGAGGGGUUGUGGUGCUUGUGGGGGUCAAAGUUGUAGUUUUUUCACCAAUACUUGUAUUAAUUGCAGGCAUAGUUGUAGUUUCUGGAUGAGUUGUGGUGUUUUGUGUGAUAGUUGAGAAUGUUGGAGGAGCUACUGUGGUUUUGAGACCCAAGAUUAUAGUUGUCUCACCUAUAGUUGCUGUUGGAAGUGUAUUUGUGCCAGCCAAAGUUGUUGUUGCACUAGUAGUUGUAACAGGAAGUACUGUUGUUGUUUCAAACAUAGUUGUGGAUGUUGAUUCAAUUGUCGAUAAGGGUGCUGAAGAUGAGAAUGAUGGAGGGAUGCUUGUGUUGGCGAUAUUUGUUGUUGUUGCGCCAAUAGUUUUGGUUACUGCAUCAGUUGUCAACAUUGGUGCUGCAACUGAAGAUGUUGCAAGGGUGCUUAUGUUAAACAAAACUGUUGUUUCAAGAACUGUUGUUUUAGGCACAGUUGUUGUUUCUUCAUCAGAUGUCAACAAUGGUUCUAGAAGUGAUGAUGUUAGAGGGGUGCUUGUGUCAAAGUUGUUGUUGCACCAAUAGGUGUUGUUGGUAGGACUGAUGUUGUUUCAGGCAUAGUUGUGGUUGCUGCAUCAGUUGUUGGUGCUACAGAUGAGGAUGCUGGAGAGGUGCUUUUGGCAGCCAGAGUUGUUGUUGUUGCACCAAUUGUUGUUGCUGAAAGAAUUGUUGCUGUUUCGGGUGAAUUUGUAGUUGCUCUAUCAGUUGUCAACAUGGGUGCUAUAUUUGAUGAUGUUUGAGGGAUGGUUGUAGCAGCCAAAGAUUGUUCUAUAGUCAAGGAUGUUGGAAGUGUGGCCAAAGUUACUGGAAGGGUUGUUGUGGUUUCAGCCAUAGUAGAUGUUGGAUUGUUUGUUGUUGUGGAAACCAAAGUUUUAGUUGCCUCAACAAUAAUACCAUUUGUUAGAAGUGCUAAUGUUUUUUCAGGCAUAGUUGUAGUUGGUGUAUCGGUUGUUGAUGUUGGAGCUAGAGUGGAGAAUGUUGAAAGGGUACUUCUGGUAGCCAAAGUUGUUGUUGUUGCACCAAUCAUUGUUGGAAGUACCACUGUUAUUUCAGGAAUAGCUGUGGUUGCUGAAUCAGUUGUCAACAAUUGUGCUACAGUUGAGGAUGUUGGAGGAGUGCUUGUGUUAACCAAAUUUGCUGUUGUUGCACCAAUAUUUGUUGUUGUGUCAGCCAUAGUUGUGGUUGUCAAAGUUGUUGCUGUUGCACCAAUACUUGUUGUGGUGUCAGCCAUAGUUUUGGCUGCCACAUCAGAUGUUGACGUUGGUGGUAUAACUGAUGAUAUUGGCGGGGUGCUUGUGUUGGCCAAAUUUGUUGUUGCACCAGUAAUUGUUGUGGUGUCAGCCAUAGUUGUGAUUGCUGCAUCAGCUGUCAACAUUGGUUCUACAAGUGAAGAUGUUGCAAGGGUGCUUGUGUUAACCAAAGUUGUUGGUGUUGCACUAAUAGGCUUUGCUGGAAGGACUGUUGUCGUUCCAAGCAUAGUAGUGGUUGUUGCAUCAGAUUUUGAGAACUGUGCUACAGUUGAGGAUGUUGGAGGAGUGCUUGUGGGAGUCAAAGUUGAUGUUUUUGAAUCAAUAUUUGUUGUGGUGUCAGCCAUAGUUGUGGAAGCAGCAUCAGAUGCUGACAUUGGUGCUAGAACAGAUAAUGUAGACAAAGCUGUUGUUGCACCAACAGUUGUUGCUGGAUGGACUUUUUUUGUUUCAGGAAUAGUUGUGACUGCCGCACCAGUAGUCAAAGUUGGUGCAAAAGAUGAGGAUGCUGGAGGAGCACUUGUAAUAGUCAAAGUUGUUGUUGUUGCACCAAUAGUUGUUUUUGAAAAUACCAUUGAUGUUUCAGGCAAAGUUCUGAUUGUUGCAUCAGAUGUCAUUGUUGGUGCUAGAACAGAUUUUGUUGUUGCACCAAAAGUUUUUGUUGGAAGAACUGUUUCUGUUUCAGCCAUAGUUGCGUUUGCUGCAUCAGUUGUCAAUGUUGGUGCUACAGAUGAGGACACUGGAGGGGUACUUUUGGCAGCCAAAGCUGUUGCACUAAUAGUUGUUUUGGAAAGUACUGUUGUUGUUUUAGGUGAAGUUGUGGUUGCUGCAUCAGUUGUUGAUUUUGGUGCUAUAUUUGAGGAUGUUGAAGGGAUGGUUGUGUCAGUCAACUUUUGUGCUAUAGAUAAGGAUGUUGGAGAUGUGGCCAAAGUUGUUAUUGUCUCGCCAGUAGCUGUAUUUGGAAGAUAUGUUGUGGUUUCAGCCACAGUAAUUGUUGUAGGAUUGUUUGUUGUUGUGGAAACCAAAGUUGUUGUUGUCUCAACAAUAGUAGCAUUUGUUGGAAACACUGUUGUUAUUUCAGACAUAGUUGUGACUGCUGCAUCAAUAUUAUUUGUUGUUGUUGUUGUUGUAUUUGCACCAGUAGUUGUUGUAUGUUCAGGCAAAGUUGUGGUUGCUACAUUAGAUGAGGACUCUAGAGGGGUGCUAGUGAUAGCCAAGGUUGUUGUUUCAUGACUAGUUGUUGUUGGAAGUACUGUUGUUGCAUCAGCAAUAGUUGUCAUUGCUGAGUCACUUGUCAACACCUGUGCUGUGGUUGUGAAUGUUGGAUUAGUGGUUUUGGAAACCAAAUUUGUUGUUGUUUCAAUAAUUGUUGUGAUGUAAGGCUUGAGCAUAGUUGAGGAUAUUUGAGGGGUUCUUGUUGUUACACCAAUAGUGGUUGAGGAUUCAAGCUUAGUUUUAGUUGCCGAAUCAGUUGUCAGUGUUGGUGCUACAUUUGAGGAUGUUGGAGUAGUGCUUGUGGUAGCCAAAAUUGUUGUUGUUGCACCAGUAGUUGUUUUUGGAAGUGCUAUUGUGUUGUCAGGCAUAGGUGUGGUUGCUAACCCAGCUGAUGAUGCUACAGUUGAGGAUGUUGGAGGGAUGCUGGCGCUAAGCAAAGAUGUUGCUGUGUCUGGCAUAGUUGUGGUUGCUGCAUCAGUUGAUGAUGCUGGUGCUAUAGUUGAUGAUAUUUGAGGAAUGGUUCCGGAAGCCAAAUUUGUUUUUGCAUCAGUAGUUUCUGUGGUGUCAGAGAGAAUUGUGGUUGCCACUUCAGUUUUUGUUGACAUUGGUGCCACAGUUGAAGAUGUUGAAAGGGUGGAUGUGCUAUCUAAAGUUGUUGCAUCAAUAAUUGUUGUAAAGUCAGGCAUAGUUGUUGUUCCAUCAGUUGUCGAUGUUUUUGCCACUGUUGAGGAAUCUGGAGAAGUGGUUGUAGGAGCCAAAGUUGCUGUCACAUCAGUAGUUGCUGUGGUGUCAAGCAUACUUGUGGUUGAUGCAACAUUUGUUGUUGACAAUGGUGCCACAGUUGAGGAUGUUGGAUGGGUGGUUAUGGCCAAAGUUGUUGUUGCAUAAAUAUUUGUUGUGAUGUCAGGCAUAGUUGGGGUUGUUGCAUGACCUGUUAACGCUGGAGGGGUGGUUGUGGAAUCCAAAGUUGUUUCAGCAUCAGUAGUUUUUGUGGUGUCAGGCAUGGUUGUUGCUGCUGCAUCAGUUGUCAAAAUUUGUGCUACAGUUGAAGAUGCUGGAGGAGUGGUUGUGGAAUCCAAAGAUGUUGUUGUAUCAGUUGUUGUUGUGGUGUCAGGCAUAGUUGUGGUUACGGCAUCAGAUGUUGAUGCUGGUGCUAUAGUGGUCGAUAUCAGAGGUGUGGUUGUGGAAGCCAAAAUUGUUGUUGCAUCAGUUGUUGUUGUGGUGUCAGACAGAGUUGUGGUUGCUGCAUCAGUUGUUGUUGAAACUGGCA
This is a long non-coding RNA of Cyprinus carpio carpio, 4376 nucleotides long. NCBI's taxonomy places the organism in Eukaryota, Metazoa, Chordata, Actinopteri, Cypriniformes, Cyprinidae. The record is from Ensembl.